Molecule: small RNA, 29 nt
Filed under: Bombyx mori (domestic silkworm)
Lineage: Eukaryota; Metazoa; Arthropoda; Insecta; Lepidoptera; Bombycidae
Description: ovarian small RNA-15851
Source: RNAcentral
GAGCUCUUUUUAAAAAAGGACACGGCGAC